AACGAACGCUGGCGGCAGGCCUAACACAUGCAAGUCGAGCGAGACCUUCGGGUCUAGCGGCGGACGGGUGAGUAACGCGUGGGAACGUGCCCUUUUCUACGGAAUAGCCUCGGGAAACUGAGCGUAAUACCGUAUACGCCCUUUGGGGGAAAGAUUUAUCGGAGAAGGAUCGGCCCGCGUUGGAUUAGGUAGUUGGUGGGGUAAUGGCCUACCAAGCCUACGAUCCAUAGCUGGUUUGAGAGGAUGAUCAGCCACACUGGGACUGAGACACGGCCCAGACUCUUACGGGAGGCAGCAGUGGGGAAUCUUAGACAAUGGGGGCAACCCUGAUCUAGCCAUGCCGCGUGAGUGAUGAAGGCCUUAGGGUUGUAAAGCUCUUUCAGCUGGGAAGAUAAUGACGGUACCAGCAGAAGAAGCCCCGGCUAACUCCGUG
This 433-nucleotide ribosomal RNA is filed under the name uncultured bacterium. RNAcentral's name for it is "partial 16S ribosomal RNA". It matches the Rfam family "Bacterial small subunit ribosomal RNA", at positions 29 to 507 of the family's 1533-position model. The record is from RNAcentral.